UAUGUAUGCUCAGUGAAAUCUAUGCAUGUUCCACUGAUAAAAGAGUACAUAAACAACAGAACACACGCGAUUUAUACACCGUACACGGAAGGGGGUUGGAUUUUAUUACUAUUACGCGGCAGCGGCUAGUACGCUAAGCUAGACGGCGUUCGCCUCCCUCAGAGGAGGGCGGCGACGAUGGCGGCUUCUCAGGUGCGCUGAGCCAGGCGCUCGUUGUGCCUGUCGCGCUCGCGCUGCCUGUCGUCCUUGCCCAUGAACAUGAAGUAGCCGACGGUGCCGACGGUGAGGAGGCCGCCGACGGCCAUCGUGGUGGGGCUGAAGCGGCGCAUGGGGCUGGACGGGCUCGUCGCCGACGACGACGCGCGCUUCAGCGGGUCGUCGGCCAUGGAGGCCCACGCCUUCAUCUCCGGCCACAUGGUGGACGGACGAUGCUCCUCCUCUUCUCGCUGCCAAGCUGCAAACUCCGGCCAAGCUUUCUUGUUUG
RNAcentral lists this long non-coding RNA (484 nucleotides) under Triticum aestivum (bread wheat). Its description in RNAcentral is "long non-coding RNA (TAES_LNC016972)". Lineage: Eukaryota; Viridiplantae; Streptophyta; Magnoliopsida; Poales; Poaceae. The record is from RNAcentral.